GACGUAGGGUGCGAGCGUUGUCCGGAAUUAUUGGGCGUAAAGAGCUCGUAGGCGGUCUGUCGCGUCGAUCGUGAAAACUUGGGGCUUAACCCUGAGCUUGCGGUCGAUACGGGCAUGACUGGAGUUCGGCAGGGGAGACUGGAAUUCCUGGUGUAGCGGUGAAAUGCGCAGAUAUCAGGAGGAACACCGGUGGCGAAGGCGGGUCUCUGGGCCGAUACUGACGCUGAGGAGCGAAAGCCAGGGGAGCGAACGGG
RNAcentral lists this ribosomal RNA (254 nucleotides) under uncultured bacterium. RNAcentral describes it as "partial 16S ribosomal RNA". It matches the Rfam family "Bacterial small subunit ribosomal RNA", at positions 524 to 776 of the family's 1533-position model. The record is from RNAcentral.